Molecule: long non-coding RNA, 788 nt
Organism: Hibiscus syriacus
Lineage: Eukaryota; Viridiplantae; Streptophyta; Magnoliopsida; Malvales; Malvaceae
Exons: 3
Source: RefSeq, a predicted model, not a curated record
UCUCUUCCUCACCCUCGCAUGGCCGAAAGCAAUGGCUCCUCAAGCCAGAUAAAAUCCGACCGACCACCAUAUUUUGUUGGCCACUCCUCACUCCGUUCACUGCCAACGACAGCCCGAGGGGCCAAACGACUCCCUAAUCGACCUAAACCGCUCGAAACGAUUCUCCUAACCUCUCAUCUUCUCGACUGAAUAAUCCCCAAACCCAUGGACGCCAUUUUCUAACCGUAGAUCGGUGAAGCUCCACCUCUUGACCACCAUCCACGACAAUGGAUCAAACCCAAAGCCGCUCCUAAAACGAACCUGACCGAUCACACCUUCACUCCCGACAAUAGCCCCGACGCUCGGCCAAGAUUUAGUUUUGUUUCAAAAAUUUUAUAAAGCUUAAUCUCAUCUACAACAAAACCCGUACAGAGUAUGGAUGGAACCAACAAGACCCUUUUUGCGUUCGAACUGCCCAGAUUCCGACAAUUGGAGCAACAACUUGACUAGGAUUGUGGUCCCAUUCCGGCAUGAACAAACAAUGUUGCUGUUCUGUAGGCCUUUGACCUAUCUGCCUUUGCUCUUUUCUCAAAUCGAGUAUUGUACAUUUGUACUAGGGAAUAUCUGUAGAUGCUGGGGCGUAAACCAGCCUUUCACUGCCCUCCAUACCAAAAUUUAGGUUCAAAUUGGCCCUUUUAUUUGACUACUUGGUUUCACUGGGUAAUUGUAUUCGGCUUAUUGGAUCAAAUAGGUUAAAUAAGUACCGAAUUAAACGAAGAAGCAUUCAUGUGACAAUGUUAAAGGGACUU